This 500-nucleotide ribosomal RNA is filed under the name uncultured bacterium. RNAcentral describes it as "partial 16S ribosomal RNA". It matches the Rfam family "Bacterial small subunit ribosomal RNA", at positions 30 to 523 of the family's 1533-position model. The record is from RNAcentral.
AUUGAACGCUGGCGGCAUGCCUUACACAUGCAAGUCGAACGGCAGCACGGGAGCAAUCCUGGUGGCGAGUGGCGAACGGGUGAGUAAUAUAUCGGAACGUGCCCAGUCGUGGGGGAUAACGUAGCGAAAGCUACGCUAAUACCGCAUACGACCUAUGGAUGAAAGCGGGGGAUCGCAAGACCUCGCGCGAUUGGAGCGGCCGAUAUCAGAUUAGGUAGUUGGUGAGGUAAAGGCUCACCAAGCCGACGAUCUGUAGCUGGUCUGGGAGGACGACCAGCCACACUGGGACUGAGACACGGCCCAGACUCCUACGGGAGGCAGCAGUGGGGAAUUUUGGACAAUGGGCGCAAGCCUGAUCCAGCAAUGCCGCAUGCAGGAUGAAGGCCUUCGGGUUGUAAACUGCUUUUGUACGGAACGAAACGGCGAGCUCUAAUACAGUUUGCUAAUGACGGUACCGUAAGAAUAAGCACCGGCUAACUACGUGCCAGCCGCCGCGGUAA